This 496-nucleotide ribosomal RNA is filed under the name uncultured bacterium. RNAcentral describes it as "partial 16S ribosomal RNA". It matches the Rfam family "Bacterial small subunit ribosomal RNA", at positions 29 to 507 of the family's 1533-position model. The record is from RNAcentral.
AUGAACGCUGGCGGCGUGCCUAAUACAUGCAAGUCGAGCGAACAGACGAGGAGCUUGCUCCUCUGACGUUAGCGGCGGUCGGGUGAGUAACACGUGGAUAACCUACCUAUAAGACUGGGAUAACUUCGGGAAACCGGAGCUAAUACCGGAUAAUAUAUUGAACCGCAUGGUUCAAUAGUGAAAGACGGUUUUGCUGUCACUUAUAGAUGGAUCCGCGCCGCAUUAGCUAGUUGGUAAGGUAACGGCUUACCAAGGCAACGAUGCGUAGCCGACCUGAGAGGGUGAUCGGCCACACUGGAACUGAGACACGGUCCAGACUCCUACGGGAGGCAGCAGUAGGGAAUCUUCCGCAAUGGGCGAAAGCCUGACGGAGCAACGCCGCGUGAGUGAUGAAGGUCUUCGGAUCGUAAAACUCUGUUAUUAGGGAAGAACAAAUGUGUAAGUAACUAUGCACGUCUUGACGGUACCUAAUCAGAAAGCCACGGCUAACUACGUG